AUGACUCUAUGUCAUGCCGCUUGUGAUGGCUUCCUCAUCCUGGAGAAGCAAUCCAAUUUCUACAUCUGCAACCCUACCACCCGCAAGUGUGCUUCCCUGCCACAUCCUCCACGACGGCCAGGCUUCAGCGCCUUCGGCGUAGUCGGCUUCUACUGGCUCCACACAUCUGGAGAACACCGGGUUCUCUGGGCGUCAUACUUGAACCAAAUGCCGUACUUGGUACUCAUUGGGGCUGCCGUCCCAACUGAGUUGCCUGAUUACUUCGUACUCACAGUUGGAUCGGACCAGCCAAGAUGCAUCCAAUGGCUGACAAUUUGA
Molecule: ribosomal RNA, 318 nt
Filed under: Triticum aestivum (bread wheat)
Lineage: Eukaryota; Viridiplantae; Streptophyta; Magnoliopsida; Poales; Poaceae
Description: partial small subunit ribosomal RNA
Source: RNAcentral